UGGGGAAUCUUGCACAAUGGGGGAAACCCUGAUGCAGCGACGCCGCGUGAGCGAUGAAGGUUUUCGAAUCGUAAAGCUCUGUCCUAUGGGAAGAUAAUGACGGUACCAUGGGAGGAAGCCCCGGCUAACUACGUGCCAGCAGCCGCGGUAAUACGUAGGGGGCGAGCGUUGUCCGGAAUUACUGGGCGUAAAGGGUUCGCAGGCGGCAUGGCAAGUCCGAUGUAAAAGGCGAAGGCUCAACCUUCGUAAGCAUCGGAAACUGUCAAGCUUGAGUGAAGGAGAGGCAAGUGGAAUUCCUAGUGUAGCGGUGGAAUGCGUAGAUAUUAGGAGGAAUACCGGUGGCGUAGGCGACUUGCUGGACUUCAACUGACGCUGAGGAACGAAAGCGUGGGUAGCAAACAGG
Molecule: ribosomal RNA, 403 nt
Filed under: Fusobacteriota bacterium
Lineage: Bacteria; Fusobacteriati; Fusobacteriota
Description: Fusobacteria bacterium partial 16S ribosomal RNA
Rfam family: Bacterial small subunit ribosomal RNA
Source: RNAcentral